This 506-nucleotide ribosomal RNA is filed under the name uncultured bacterium. RNAcentral's name for it is "partial 16S ribosomal RNA". It matches the Rfam family "Bacterial small subunit ribosomal RNA", at positions 29 to 523 of the family's 1533-position model. The record is from RNAcentral.
AGUGAACGCUGGCGGUAGGCCUAACACAUGCAAGUCGAACGGCAGCACAGGAGAGCUUGCUCUCUGGGUGGCGAGUGGCGGACGGGUGAGGAAUACAUCGGAAUCUACUCUGUCGUGGGGGAUAACGUAGGGAAACUUACGCUAAUACCGCAUGCGACCUACGGGUGAAAGCAGGGGACCUUCGGGCCUUGCGCGAUUGAAUGAGCCGAUGUCGGAUUAGCUAGUUGGCGGGGGAAAGGCCCACCAAGGCGACGAUCCGUAGCUGGUCUGAGAGGAUGAUCAGCCACACUGGAACUGAGACACGGUCCAGAAUCCUACGGGAGGCAGCAGUGGGGAAUAUUGGACAAUGGGCGCAAGCCUGAUCCAGCCAUACCGCGUGGGUGAAUAAGGCCUUCGGGUUGUAAAGCCCUUUUGUUGGGAAAGAAAUCCAGCUGGCUAAUACCCGGUUGGGAUGACGGUACCCAAAGAAUAAGCACCGGCUAACUUCGUGCCAGCCGCCGCCGUAA